This 29-nucleotide small RNA is filed under the name Bombyx mori (domestic silkworm). RNAcentral describes it as "ovarian small RNA-6922". The record is from RNAcentral. Lineage: Eukaryota; Metazoa; Arthropoda; Insecta; Lepidoptera; Bombycidae.
UCACUCUUAAAAAAAGUGUGUGUGUCCGC